This is a long non-coding RNA of Gavialis gangeticus (Gharial), 131 nucleotides long. RefSeq lists it as uncharacterized. The transcript has 4 exons. Lineage: Eukaryota; Metazoa; Chordata; Crocodylia; Gavialidae. The record is from RefSeq and is a predicted model, not a curated record.
ACCAAUCAGCAGAGGGAGGGGGGCCAUGGGGGAACCUGCAAGAUGAAAGGAGCAACAGUGCACCCCAUUUCUGCCAUGAAAUUGGUAGGUCCCUAAAAAUAGGAUAAGUGCAGGGAUAAACAGGAGACAAC